Jaculus jaculus (lesser Egyptian jerboa) is the source of this 431-nucleotide long non-coding RNA. RefSeq lists it as uncharacterized. The record is from RefSeq and is a predicted model, not a curated record. The transcript has 3 exons. NCBI's taxonomy places the organism in Eukaryota, Metazoa, Chordata, Mammalia, Rodentia, Dipodidae.
GGGAAGAGAACUUCCUUCCAGACCUAGCCGGAAGGAUCUAGAAGCACCCAGAACCUUCCAAAGCUGCAUCCACACGAGGGAGAUCAUUCCUCCAAGGUGUCCAGUGCAGGAUCCCAGCUCCGGGAGCUUCCUUUCCCUUUGGCCUUUCUCACGCUGCCCACUGGGACACACCGUCUACUCUGAGGGACCCUUCCAUGGUGCUGGGCCCAGAUGUGAACCUACAAUUUUCUGAGACUCUCACAAACAGGACUAGAAGUUUCCUUUACAGUAAAAACACAGCUUGAGUCUCUAAGCAACCCUUGUGACUGCGUUGCACGGUAUCAGCCUGUAAUCUUGUCCAGCCCACCUUGGGAGUCACCUAUGAUCUCCCUGAAGGCCCUCGGCAACGCUUUCACAUGAAGCUUCGGAACUGCACAUGGCUGCUGGAAAGA